RNAcentral lists this ribosomal RNA (463 nucleotides) under uncultured bacterium. RNAcentral's name for it is "bacterial SSU rRNA". It matches the Rfam family "Bacterial small subunit ribosomal RNA", at positions 917 to 1382 of the family's 1533-position model. The record is from RNAcentral.
GGGCCCGCACAAGCGGCGGAGCAUGCGGAUUAAUUCGAUGCAACGCGAAGAACCUUACCUGGGUUUGACAUGUUCGGUAAUCCGGCAGAGAUGUCGGGUCCUUCGGGGCCGUUCACAGGUGGUGCAUGGCUGUCGUCAGCUCGUGUCGUGAGAUGUUGGGUUAAGUCCCGCAACGAGCGCAACCCUUGUUCGAUGUUGCCAGCGGUUCGGCCGGGGACUCAUCGAAGACUGCCGGGGUCAACUCGGAGGAAGGUGGGGAUGACGUCAAGUCAUCAUGCCCCUUAUGUCCAGGGCUUCACGCAUGCUACAAUGGCCGGUACAAAGGGCUGCGAUACCGUGAGGUGGAGCGAAUCCCAAAAAGCCGGUCUCAGUUCGGAUCGGGGUCUGCAACUCGACCCCGUGAAGUCGGAGUCGCUAGUAAUCGCAGAUCAGCAAUGCUGCGGUGAAUACGUUCCCGGGCCUU